This 417-nucleotide ribosomal RNA is filed under the name bacterium enrichment culture clone ALO1_GLFRUDD03GU2K2. RNAcentral describes it as "bacterial SSU rRNA". It matches the Rfam family "Bacterial small subunit ribosomal RNA", at positions 9 to 428 of the family's 1533-position model. The record is from RNAcentral.
GAGUUUGAUCGUGGCUCAGAUUGAACGCUGGCGGCAUGCCUUACACAUGCAAGUCGAACGGCAGCACGGGAGCUUGCUCCUGGUGGCGAGUGGCGAACGGGUGAGUAAUGCAUCGGAACGUAUCCUGGAGUGGGGGAUAACGUAGCGAAAGUUACGCUAAUACCGCAUAUUCUGUGAGCAGGAAAGCGGGGGACCUUCGGGCCUCGCGCUCUUGGAGCGGCCGAUGUCGGAUUAGCUAGUUGGUGAGGUAAAGGCUCACCAAGGCGACGAUCCGUAGCAGGUCUGAGAGGAUGAUCUGCCACACUGGAACUGAGACACGGUCCAGACUCUUACGGGAGGCAGCAGUGGGGAAUUUUGGACAAUGGGGGCAACCCUGAUCCAGCCAUGCCGCGUGAGUGAAGAAGGCCUCGGUUGUAA